Molecule: long non-coding RNA, 3448 nt
Organism: Oryzias latipes (Japanese medaka)
Lineage: Eukaryota; Metazoa; Chordata; Actinopteri; Beloniformes; Adrianichthyidae
Source: RefSeq, a predicted model, not a curated record
CAAGCCCCCACAUUUCUGCAAUCUCUCUGGCCCCCAAACCAGCAACAUAACCCGGAGUUGCAUCCAAAAGCAGACACCAAGCAGCCAGCGAGCAAUCCAAAUUUUAAAGGCAUGUAAUUAAAGGAGUUAAAUUGGGAGCAGGGACUGCGCCACAUGGGGAAACGUACCUUUUUUUUUGAAAAUACCAGAUCCCUUUGAGUUGCCAACCACAUGUUGGAGACCAGGUUUUUACUGCUGAUUGUGCGACGCUCAAGGACAAACAUCUUAGCUUGAUUUCUAUUUUGGCUUUGUGCUACUUUUAGUUCAAAGACCAAAUAUAGUUUAUUUAAGUCAGCCAUGUGUGGCUAAUGUAGCAUUUACUUAGGAACAGUAUGUAUGCAGCACAAAAUUGCUACAAAGAGUGACACACAUUGCUGUUUGAGUAAAAAUGGGAUUUGGGGAAAAACACUAUUGCCCUAAUAGUUAUAUCUAGAUUUUAUAUUGCGCCUGAGUUGAUUUGAUUGAAAAAAAAUAGUUUGUGUCAACGACAUGCUAGGAGUUUGCAUUACGCUGAUUUCCAUCGUAAAACAGUAAAUUUAGUUUAGGAGUAAGUGUUCAUACUAUUAGUCUGCUGGAAAAGGACACUGUUUAGUAAAUGUUCUUUUUUAUUUAUGGGAUUUUCAGGUACAGAUAUAAUGGCGACCAAACCAAAUAUUGUAGUGGUGGAUGAAGGAAACAGGAAAGCUGUUAUGGUAGAUUUGGCAAUACAUAGUGAUGGCAACGUCAGCAAGUAGUCUUAAAAGUGAAUCAUGGCAUCUGAACCUAUAAUCAUUUGCUUCAGAUGCCAUGACACAACUUCAAGGAUAUGUAUUGUGCAAAAAUGAACUGGAGAAAGCUUGGAAAGUUGAGGUGACAGUUGUGCCUGUGAUCAAAGAUACUGCUCAUGAUCUUUAAACUACCACCUCUGAAAGAGGACCUGAGCUUAGGUGAGAAACUGCCUGCAGAGUUUGACAGGGUUUUUUUUUUAAAUAAUUCUGUUCUCAACUGAAGGACAAACACCAGAUCAGUGCCAUUUAUUCGGCAUCUGCUCAUCCUAAUCCAUUUUUCUCGACUGUCGUACUCAUUUCUGCUGUUCUGGAGUACUGAUCCUAGUAGUAAAAGGUAGUAAAUAUGAAGGGGACAUUGUAUAGUGUUAGCAUGGCCACAAACAGCUCCUUGAGGCACACCCACAAAAUUACCAGGCUUGGAUCCUCUAUUCGUUGUCAUAACGUGAUUGACUCUCCACACCAUGGGGAGUGCCUCAUGGACCUCUGCUAGACAACCUGUAGAUGCUCCCUCUGGGUCAGCAAUAAUAAAAACUUAAAAAUUAAAACAUUAUAAAGAAAUGGACGUGUCAUAGUAGACUCAGACCUAAUUUUUAGCAUAUCCAGAUUUCCAUUCACACUUGAUAUGGACCAACCAAACCAAACUAUGCAGAUAAAAAUACAUAUUUUCCUUUUUUUUUAAAGGGAAUAGGGAAUUCUUUGGAAGAGGAUUAGAAAAACUACCAAACUACUAACAAUGUCAUGAUUUUCGAGACUUCGAGACAGACCCAGAUGCUGGAACCCGGAAGGAACACAGGAGAGUUAUUAGGUAAGUAAUUAGAUUUAUUUGCUCUCGUAGGUGAUCUUCUGGAGGUGAUGUCUUCGGCUCGAGACUGUUGAUAAGUGGCGAGAAGACGUGGCGUGGCUGGAGGGCUUCGAUGGAGGCUGAGAGGGCAUGAACAGCAGGCGAAGAGAGCGUGGAGGAAACAGGCGGUUCCGGAGGCAAUCCCAGUGACCAGACAAGCACCAUGGAGGAGCAACGAACUGGCGACGAAUACUGGCUGUGGAUCUCCUUGAGAAGGCAGUAGGCUGAUGAGGUAGAAUCUACUCCUUCGGUUCCACCUUUCCUAAUUGGACUCAGUUUUUGUCACUCACUCCUGCUCUGACCGCCAUGAUCUUUCACUGCCGACCUGGGUCCACACAUCAACUCACCAUCUGGUUACACCUGAGCACUCGACCUCCAGCCACUACACGACUUCCUGCACUCACUUCCUCCUCCACUGGGACUCACGCUCUUCCAUCAUCCCAAGACGCCAUCACAGAUUUCGCCACCAGCUACCUAACACUUCCACUGAAUAACAGUUUCCUCCUGGACCAUAAAACAGUGACUACAUCCGUUCUUGUGUCCGUGAUCUUUCUGCGUUCCAGCAUCUGGGUCUGUUGUCGUUCAUCCUAAACAUGACACUUUUGCGAUUCUACUGUAAAUCUGAGUUAAAGACAAAUCUUGGAUCGACAAAAUAAUACAAACGAACAAUAAAACAAAACAAAGUAGCAAGAAAAACAUUUUCAAAGCCAAUUUUCCCAAAUUCAAAAGGUAACUGCAAACAAUUAAUGUGCAAUAGAUGGCAAAACUAAGGGUUACAGAAUAUUUAAUUGGUUACUUGCUCUCAUUAUUUGUUCUUAACUGUAUUGGUGAAACAUGCACAAUCUAAGUGUUUAUUUCAUUCAUGCAGUUUGUGCCUGCUCCCUGCUGAGAAAAUCAGAUUUACUAAACUCCUUUUAAUUAAAAAGCAAAUAAUAUCUACCUUCACAUACAUGCAAAUUUAAACCUCUGUAAAUCAGGCUCGCCAUGUACUGAGGCAGAGUAGGUUGUGUAAGCAAAAUCUUUCAACAGUGGUUUAUUUUCAUUACCUUGACAUGUGUUUGUGAGUCACAACAGAUGAUUGCUCACUUCCACCAACCAGUCAAAUUUGAAUCUAUUCAGUGGGAUAAAGAAAGCAAAAGAAGAAAACAUCCUUCUGGUUCAUCAACUGUUUGACUCAAACAGAUCUUUCAUGUCACAUAAAGAAGAUGUACUUAAAUAUUAAAUACAGCAUCAAAAUACCUCAAUCUGAGUUUAACAUUGUCCUAAAAGCAAUCCCUAAAUGUGUUAGUAUGUUAUUCAAAAGCUCAUCAUUGCAGAGUCCAACUUUAUUAUUAGUUGACCCAACUAAAAUAGAAAUUGGCCAGAUUUGUUUUCCCUCUACGUAACACAAAUCGCCGUAAACGCUCACUUUUAUAGAGGGAUGUUGUAUCCGUUCCGUAUGUAGGUAUUUACUGGAAUAAUCUAGUUUACCAAUUAGAAUGAAAGAAGAUCUGGAAUCUGCCAGCAAAAUAUCUUUUAACCAAUAAAGUGAAAGAAUUCUCCUCUAAAUUAAGCCAUAAAUACUACCCCCCCCCCUCCGACUAUAUCUGCAGAGAUUAAAAAAAUAUAUUAAUAUAACCUGUACCUUUUUGUUAAGAACACCCUGAAGAUGCUGUUCAUUUAUUUUGGUCAUGCCCUUUUUCCACUAAACUCGGUCUAAAGUUUGCAAUUUAAUUUCCGCCCACAUAGACUCAGACUUCUGCCUGUGCUUAGAACAUGUACUGUUUGGCCUCACUCAUUGUCCGUCUCAUAAAAAAGAACC